UCCGUAGGUGAACCUGCGGAAGGAUCACUAGUGAUUAAAUCGAGAGCGUCUUCAUUGACCUCUCACCCUUCACAUCCACAUACACCUGUGCACCGUUUGGCUCUUUUAAAAGACGCAAGUCUGCAAAGAGAGUCAUCAAUUUUAUACAUACCCCAGUCUUAUGAAUGUAACAGUUUUAAUAAACAAAAUAAAACUUUUAACAACGGAUCUCUUGGUUCUCGCAUCGAUGAAGAACGCAGCGAAAUGCGAUAAGUAAUGUGAAUUGCAGAAUUCAGUGAAUCAUCGAAUCUUUGAACGCACCUUGCGCUCUUUGGUAUUCCGAAGAGCAUGCCUGUUUGAGUGUCAUGAAACUCUCAACCUCCAACUUUCUUAAUAGUCGGUUGGCGGCUUGGACUUGAGCGCUGCUGGUCUUUAUUGACCGGCUCGCUUGAAAUGAAUUAGCAGAUCCUUUUUGUAAUCGGUUCCACUCGACGUGAUAAGUAUUUCGCCGAGGACAUCUUAACGGAUGGCCGAGAUAAAGAAAGUCUUUAGAUCCGCUUCUAAUUCUUAGAUAGAGCUUGCUCUACUAAACCCCUUUUAUGAUCUGGCCUCAAAUCAGGUAGGACUACCCGCUGAACUUAAGCAUAUCAAUAAGCGGAGGA
Molecule: ribosomal RNA, 641 nt
Filed under: Mrakia sp. TP-Snow-Y57
Lineage: Eukaryota; Fungi; Basidiomycota; Tremellomycetes; Cystofilobasidiales; Mrakiaceae
Description: eukaryotic LSU rRNA
Rfam family: 5.8S ribosomal RNA (bases 192-345)
Source: RNAcentral